This is a long non-coding RNA of Anguilla anguilla (European eel), 1110 nucleotides long. RefSeq lists it as uncharacterized. The record is from RefSeq and is a predicted model, not a curated record. The transcript has 3 exons. NCBI's taxonomy places the organism in Eukaryota, Metazoa, Chordata, Actinopteri, Anguilliformes, Anguillidae.
UGUUAUUACCCAGAAUCCCCCCAGUGGAGAAAUUUACACAGGAGAGAGAGUCACCCUGAGCUGUGGGUUUGGGGGAGACCCUGCUGGCUGGGAGUAUGUCUGGUACAAAGACCCACUGAGACAUACUGUUGCCAACACUGACAGCAGCAGGACUGAUGGGUCCAGUUUCACCAUCAGCUCUGCUGCUCUGGCCCACAGUGGAGAGUACCGGUGUUGAGCUGCAAGAGGAAGAAAACCUUUUUACUCAGUCUACAGUGAUCCUCUGACUUUAGAAAUAUCUGCAUUACCUGAAACACAUCUGACCGUGCAAUCUGGAUGGACAGAGGUCUUCCCCGCUGAAACAGUGACUCUGAGAUGUGUAAUUCAGGGCAGCUCUACAGACUGGAUGUAUAAAUGGUACAGAGAUGGACAGGAGCUUCCUGUAGACAAAGCUGACUCCAGCAGUGUAAAUGGAGACACAUACACAAUCCUCUCUGCUGAUCAGUCACAUUCUGGACUGUACACCUGCAGAGGAGAACUUACAAGGAGAGCAUCUGUGCACUCUCUGAUUGGCAGCUCUGCUACAUUGAGUGUACGAGUUUACCAUUCUGUGGAGAAUGUGGUUCGGAUCUGUGUGGGCAUGGCAGUUCUCCUCUUUCUGUCAAUCAUUGUGAAUCCAGCCUUCUGGAGAUGGGUAUCACGCCGGAAAGUGGUACACAGUGGGGAGGAACUGGCUGACCAAAGUGACCAUACCUGACCACACAGUGUGGCAUGAGUUUGUUUUCAUUAUUGCUUUGCUAAAUAUUACAUGACAUAUUGUAUCAUUUAUUAAAGUAGACUUACUAAAAAAAUAUAUAUGUAUAAAUGUGCAUCUUACGGGCUUGAAGGCUUAAUGUAAUAUCUGGCAAAACAUGGCUUUGAAAUACAGGAGUUUUCUCAUGAAUUGUCAUUAGGGAUAGUUUGCACUCUCACACAGCCCUGGUCAUCGCAUUACUUCUAAUCAGUGUCAUUCUGCAUGUCAUUCUUUGCGUAGGGCAGGGUACAGCAUGGUACUUAACCUGCAUUGCUUCAGUAUAUGUCCAGCUAUAUGAAUUGAUACUAUGUUAAUGGAUGCAAUGUAAAUAGUGUGAA